Molecule: transfer RNA, 78 nt
Filed under: Pythium insidiosum
Lineage: Eukaryota; Oomycota; Peronosporomycetes; Pythiales; Pythiaceae
Description: tRNA-Ser
Rfam family: tRNA
About the family: Transfer RNA (tRNA) molecules are approximately 80 nucleotides in length. Their secondary structure includes four short double-helical elements and three loops (D, anti-codon, and T loops). Further hydrogen bonds mediate the characteristic L-shaped molecular structure. tRNAs have two regions of fundamental functional importance: the anti-codon, which is responsible for specific mRNA codon recognition, and the 3' end, to which the tRNAs corresponding amino acid is attached (by aminoacyl-tRNA synthetases). tRNAs cope with the degeneracy of the genetic code in two manners: having more than one tRNA (with a specific anti-codon) for a particular amino acid; and 'wobble' base-pairing, i.e. permitting non-standard base-pairing at the 3rd anti-codon position.
Source: RNAcentral
GACAGCUUGGCCGAGCGGUUAAGCGAUAGACUCGAAAUCUAUUGGGAAACCGCGUGAGUUCAAAUCUCACAGCUGUCG